UACGUAGGGUGCAAGCGUUAAUCGGAAUUACUGGGCGUAAAGCGUGCGCAGGCGGUUAUGUAAGACGGAUGUGAAAUGCCCGGGCUUAACCUGGGAACUGCAUUUGUGACUGCAUGGCUAGAGUUUGGCAGAGGGGGGUAGAAUUCCACGUGUAGCAGUGAAAUGCGUAGAUAUGUGGAGGAACACCGAUGGCGAAGGCAGCCCCCUGGGUCAAGACUGACGCUCAUGCACGAAAGCGUGGGGAGCAAACAGG
RNAcentral lists this ribosomal RNA (253 nucleotides) under uncultured bacterium. RNAcentral describes it as "partial 16S ribosomal RNA". It matches the Rfam family "Bacterial small subunit ribosomal RNA", at positions 524 to 776 of the family's 1533-position model. The record is from RNAcentral.